This 253-nucleotide ribosomal RNA is filed under the name uncultured bacterium. RNAcentral describes it as "partial 16S ribosomal RNA". It matches the Rfam family "Bacterial small subunit ribosomal RNA", at positions 524 to 776 of the family's 1533-position model. The record is from RNAcentral.
UACAGAGGGGGCAAGCGUUGUUCGGAAUUACUGGGCGUAGAGGGCGCGUAGGCGGCCUUCUAAGUCGAACGUGAAAUCCCUCAGCUUAACUGGGGAACUGCGUCUGAGACUGGCGAGCUUGAGUGCAGGAGAGGAACGCGGAAUUCCAGGUGUAGCGGUGAAAUGCGUAGAUAUCUGGAGGAACACCGGUGGCGAAGGCGGCGUUCUGGACUGCAACUGACACUGAGGAACGAAAGCCAGGGGAGCAAACGGG